CUGCUGCCUUCCGUAGGAGUUUGGGCCGUGUCUCAGUCCCAAUGUGGCCGUCCACCCUCUCAGGCCGGCUACUGAUCGCUGCCUUGGUGGGCCGUUACCCCGCCAACUAGCUAAUCAGACGCGGAUCCAUCUUACACCACCGGAGUUUUUCACACAAAUCCAUGCGGCUUCGUGCGCUUAUGCGGUAUUAGCACCUAUUUCUGAGUGUUAUCCCCCAGUGUAAGGCAGGUUACCCACGCGUUACUCACCCGUCCG
This 255-nucleotide ribosomal RNA is filed under the name uncultured bacterium. RNAcentral's name for it is "partial 16S ribosomal RNA". The record is from RNAcentral.